This 1248-nucleotide long non-coding RNA is filed under the name Crocodylus porosus (Australian saltwater crocodile). Its description in RNAcentral is "lncRNA (ENSCPRG00005010052.1)". The record is from RNAcentral. Lineage: Eukaryota; Metazoa; Chordata; Crocodylia; Crocodylidae.
GUCCCACAUAGGGAGCGGGUGCUGGGUGCACAGGCAGCUCUCCAUGUGGCUCCCCCCAUGCCCACUCCCCGUGUGGCACCCUGCAGUUGCACACCAUGCCCACCCCCUGUGUGUGGGGAUCGCCCGCUGGUUGUGGCCAUGGGCUGUUGGGCUUGCGGGGGGCAUGGUGCAGAAAGCUGGCCGCAGCAUGCCACGCCCCCCAUGCAGCUGUAUGCAAUGCCCCCUGCACAGGGAGUGCCCACUGGCAGAGCCACGGGGUGCGAAGGGCACGGGUGGUGUGGUAUGUGGGCAUGUGAGGAGCCAGCAGGGGGGUGCGUGGGCCACCCUGUGGCCGUACCCCCCCAUGGGGAGUAGCUGCCAGCUGUGGCUGCAUGCCACCCCCCCCAUGUGCCCUGUGCCACACCCUGAGGCUGCUCCCCAUGCCAUAUGGCCACAACCAGCAGGCACUCCCUGUACCAUGGCCACUCCACAUGCAACGCCAUGUGGCCACAGGUCAGCCCCUCCACUCACCCAUGUGGCAGGCCCCCCAUGCACCAUGCCACCCACCCCAAGUGCCAUGCUCCCCCACAUGUCCUACACCACACCCCAGGGCUGUUCCCCAUGCCAUACCCUACGGCCGCAUACCAUCCCCCUCACACCCCACCUGUGCACCCCAGGCCACACCCUGGGGCUACUCCCCACACCACAUAGGUGCAGCCUGCAGGCACUUCCUCCACCAUGGCUACUUCCCAUGCCAUGCCCCAUGGCCAUGCACCAAGGCCCCCACGCGCACCCCAUGCCACACCCCGGGGCCACUGCCCAUGCCAUGUGGCUGCCACUGGCAAGUAUUCCCUGUGCCCCUGUGUUGCGGCCACUUCCCGUGCCAUGCCCCUGGUUGUGUGCCACACCCCCCAGUGCAGCCAAUGCAUCACGCCCCCCACACCUCAGAACUUCCCCCCACACCAUGUUGCUGCAGCCGCCAUGUGCUCUCCCUGCUGUGGCCACUCCCCAGGCCGUGGCACUUGCCACCCCCCCCCACGUACCGGGCACCACACCCCAGGGCUGUUCCCCACACCAUGCAAACAGCAAGUGCUCCCCGCGCCAUGCCUUACAGCCACCCCCACCCCCCAUGCACCCUCGCACCAUGUCCCCUGCUUGCAGAGUGGCAGGGAGGAGGGUUGGAGCGGAGCUGGACCCAGAGUGGCAGGAGGAGUGGGACAUGACCAAGAGUGGUGGCAGCAAUGAGGGGGGAGGAAGGGAGGACCUGGA